AUUGAACGCUGGCGGCAGGCCUAACACAUGCAAGUCGAACGGUAGCACAGAGAGCUUGCUCUCGGGUGACGAGUGGCGGACGGGUGAGUAAUGUCUGGGAAACUGCCCGAUGGAGGGGGAUAACUACUGGAAACGGUAGCUAAUACCGCAUAACGGUGCAAGACCAAAGUGGGGGACCUUCCGGCCUCACACCAGCGGAUGUGCCCAGAUGGGAUUGGCUAGUAGGUGGGGUAAUGGCCCACCUAGGCGACGAUCCCGAGCUGGUCUGAGAGGAUGGCCAGCCACACUGGAACUGAGACACGGUCCAGACUCCUACGGGAGGCAGCAGUGGGGAAUAUUGCAUAAUGGGCGCAAGCCUGAUGCAGCCAUGCCGCGUGUAUGAAGAAGGCCUUCGGGUUGUAAAGUACUUUCAGCGGGGAGGAAGGCGGUGAAGUUAAUAGCUUCACCGAUUGACGUUACCCGCAGAAGAAGCACCGGCUAACUCCGUGCCAGCAGCCGCAGUAA
RNAcentral lists this ribosomal RNA (504 nucleotides) under uncultured bacterium. RNAcentral describes it as "partial 16S ribosomal RNA". It matches the Rfam family "Bacterial small subunit ribosomal RNA", at positions 29 to 523 of the family's 1533-position model. The record is from RNAcentral.